UUCACUGUCACGUUGACAGUGGAAGGAUUAAGAGUUUAUGGGUGUGUGUAUUUGAGAGGAUCUGUUUUCCCUCUAACAUCGAAACUGAAGGGCCCUUGGGACAUUUGUGUUAGGGAGCAGUUUGGAUCCGCCUGUAACAACCCCUCUGCUAAGAAAUCCCCGCUAAGAACAGCUGCUGCAAUCCACACAAUUGUCUCAGGGGAUGGUCUCCAUGAGCUGCUUGAGACUAAUCAAACUAUUCGGACCAGAAAGAAGAUAGCAGGUAUCUGUAUGACUAAUCAGGAAGUGUAACAAUCAAGUCAAGAAACCAAAACACCAAACGAUCAAGAGAAUGGCAGAAAACGGAGACCAGGAUCCUCACUGGACCUACCCGGCCCAAGAAUUGGUGAGAAGAGAGGAGGAGAGGACUCCCCAGGUCCAAGAAGGUGAAAAUGUAUUGAGGACCCACCAAGAAAAGAUGAUUGAAGAUUCUGGUUCUGUCCAACUGAAAAUCUCCCCAGAAAUAGAAACACUAGGUCCCCAAGAGACAAACAGUGUGUCUGGAAGCCCCUCUGCAGUAAAUGAAGAGGAUUCCUCAGAGGGAAGACCAGUGAGUUCUGAUGGAAUUUCUCUGAGAACAAACACUGAGGAGUCCCCAGGCCUUCUGAACCUUAACACAAUGAGUUUACCAGACUAUUCUCUGGACAAAGACAUGGUAUCUUCCUUAGGUGAAAGGAAAACACAUUCAGGGCCAGUUGCUCUGGAAGAGAAAAUCAUAAGGGAACCCCCAAAAGAAGAGGAGAACAGUGUACCUACCCCCAGAGGAGAGCCACAAGAUACCAUAAUCCAAGAAACCACACUUCCAUCUGCAGACUUCCUGGAACCAGUGAAAGAGAGUAUCUCAAACAAGGAGGGAGAAAGACCCCAAGACACAGCAAGGAAGAGACACUUGACUGAAGCGGGGAAGUCAGAGGCUGAAGCCCAUCCACAAGAGACAGAGACCAGGCAGGAAGCAACGCCAGAGAAGGAGAAGUCCUUUUUAGGCAAUGGUCUUGCCUUUCCUGCAGCUUCACUGGGAUUCCUGGUAGUUGUGGUUUGUUUCAGCAUAUAUUGCAAUGGCUACUAUACUUCCCAGCCCCACUAUGUGCCAGAAAAUCCAGCCUUGGAGGCCUUCUUGUCUAGGUUUAACCAGCUGAAGGACAGCUUUCCAGGCCAGAGCUCUUACCUGUGGGUUAGAGGGCAAAAAUUAUUGCAGAGGCAUCUCAACACUUCCAGUCAUAGUGAGCCAGCUAUUUUAAUCUUUACUGCUGCCCGUGAAGGUGAAGAAACCUUGAAGUGCCUGAGCAACUGUAUUGCAGAUGCCUACUCCACCUCACUCCGUGCCAGUAUGAUCCAGGUUGACGGGGCUGGUAAAGCCACACUCAACAGCGACAAAGCUAAACUGGAGGUAGAUUAUGAGCUGAGCACCGGCUUUGAGGAGGGCAAGAGGGCCGCAGUGGUGCACCGGUUUGAGUCGCUACCUGCUGGCUCCACCUUGAUCUUUUACAAGUACUGCGACCAUGAGAGCGCAGCCUUCAAAGACGUGGCACUGCUCUUAACAGUCCUGCUGGAGGAAGAGAAGCUAGAGGCUAAUAUACACCUACAGCAAGUCGAGGAGAGAGUUCGUGAUUUCCUCUGGGCCAAAUUCACCAAUGCCAACACUCCCAGCUCCUACAACCACAUGGACACCGACAAGCUGAGUGGAUUGUGGAGCCGCAUCUCCCACUUGGUCCUGCCCAUCCAUCCAGUAAAAGCCAUAGAGAACAAUGGCUGUUCUUUCCAAACCAAACCAUAGUGAUGAAUGAAAUCAGCUUCCAAGACAGCCAAAGCCUUUGUGUAGAGGAGAGGGGACCUUCCACCUGCACAUCUGCUCCCUCCCAUACAGAAAGGGCAGUCGCAGCCACCGCUGUAGCAGUGUAUCCCCAGAUCCUGUGGAGGUUCAGUCUGGAGAACAAGAUGGAAGCUGGAUGGGGCCAGGAGGAAUUUGGCAAGGACUUUUCUCAGGGAGAGUUCCUCCCCCACCAGAGCCCUGGGAAGGGUGAUCGGCCCAUGGUUUGUAAUGUUACUGAUAACAGCAAAGGGACAUCAUAAUCUUGUAAUUCACAGUUGCCUCUAGGUCUCUCUAUAAGUAGCUCUUAUGAUUAACUUUUAGCUCCCUAGACAAUUGUUAAUAGAGGUAUUUAUUUCAGCCCCUAUAGGACAUGUCGCAAUGGGAUCUCUCUGCAUAGGGAGAGCUCACCUUCUCGCCAGCCGGGGGGAGCAGCCACUCAGAGUAAUAGGAGUGCUUCAUAUGGCUGGGGAACUGAGUGCAUUGAUGGCUGGUAACGAGCUAAUACUUUAUGUACUGUUUGAAAGCUUACGAAUCCCCAGCUUGGUGCACACCAGUGCAUGUUGCACAUCAUCUUCUGUACAUAACAUAGGAAGCACUUGAGCCACUUGGGGGCAUGUUACUUCCAUAGGUACUGAUGCAUUCUGGGAAGUGUCUAGAGAAGAGCUGCUAAGGUCAUGCUGGAGGGGACUCAGGUUACUAGGCUAAAGCUCUAAAGGCCCCAAUCCUGCAAUGAGAUCUCUGCAGGCAGACUCCCUGCACCUGUGUGGGAGCAGAGAGUCGGAAUGCACAGAUCACAUUGCAAAAUCAGGGCCCAGGUCUCUUCCGGUUGGAGAAGAAGAGGCUGUGGCAAGAAGUGGAGCUUACUUCCAAGUAUAACUGCCCAAAUGGAAGACAUGUUGUGAUCAGCACGAUCUAUAUGAGGGCUGAAGGAUCGAGCAAUCAAGGUGAGCUGCCCACAACAGGCCUUACACAGACAUAGGCUUUAAUUAAGCAACAACAGGAACAUGCUUGGACGCUCUGAGAUGGGUAACUUUGUAAAAUACCCUCUACUGACUGUACACCAAUGCUGCCUGUGCCGCACACCAGUGGUGCCUUGCUGAACCAUUCCAAAGGAAGACUAAGCUGACUCACAGCAUAGCUCACAGUAUUCACUCAUUUCACUACAGCCCCAGGGGUGCAGCCCAUCUGCAUUUCCAAAUCUCAGGAUUGAGACUGAAUUUUUUGGGGGUGGGGUGGAGGUGGAGAUUUUGCAUUGAAAAUAGAGUCUGCUUUUAUUCUUGCAAACAGAAUGCGUUGGAUGUGGUUUUUCAGCACGACUGGCCAUUUCAAGACAUGUCUUGGGACUGUUGUUCAUUUUUCCUGUGUAGUUGGCAUUUUAUAUGUGAUCCAAUUCUUGUAUUGAAAAGCAUAUGCUUUUUUCUCCCCUGCAGAAUGGAAAUAGGUUUUACUACAGAAGGUGGGCUGGUGUUCUGAAGUGUUCCUUAGGACACAAUCAACAUUCUAACACUCGGCUAUAUCAGGUUUUAAGGAAAAUAAUGAAUAACUGUGGCUGUAAAAAGUCUCUCUGCGCUGACAUUCAGCAAACCAAGGGGUCCAGUCCAAAGAACAUUUUUGUACAAAAUUUGGGGUAGGGGUAUUUGGCUGCUUUUCAUUUUUAAUCAAAGUGCUCAACAUGGAAGCACUUUCUUGUUUUUCUGUGUGGCUUGGGAUUUAUUGUUUGCUUUGACUUAAUAGUCAGCAAGAGAUCAGUCUAUGGUGCAAGUCCAAUGAUUUGAAAAAAUAUUAACAUCUAAAAGUCAAGUGCCACACACAGAUAAUUUUAUGUAUUCCGUUUCUACUGCAUUGUCUUCUGUGCAAUGGAAAGGAAUGAUUCUCAGGCACAUAAGGCACUGUGGACAAUAUGGCCCAUGAGCAUUAACCAGUUGAGCUGUUGCAGCAUAGAGAAAUUUUAUGCUUUUUUAAAGAAAAACUUCCUUGUGCUUCUUAAAGUAGUUUAAAAAAAAAAAAUAAAUCAUGAGGUUGUAAAAGAACCCAGUGAAGACUUAAAUGUUAGACUGAAAACUGUCUUUUUAUAAACUGUUCAUACAUUUCUAAUGAAUUUUAGUGCACAUACGUGACAAUCUGUUGUAUAGGACAGAGCCAUACUUAGGACAUGUCCAAUGCUAACAUAGCCCAUCUAAAAGCUUGAUCCAAAGCUUAGUGAAGGUAGAGUGUCUUUCUGUUCUGAUUGACUCUGGAUCAGCCUCUGCCCAAUCCUGCAACUGAGUGUGGAUAGACCAUUGUGCUUCUGUGGAGUUCCACUGAGUCACUGGGAUUCCAUGUGGGUGGAUGGGGAAGGCUAAUGUAUUGCUUCCCUGCAACACUUACCCUCAGAUAUUGCAUGCUUAACAUACUCUGCCCUGUCUUUUUCUGUCACACUGGUAGCAGCAGUCAGCAUUAACUCUAUUUUGGGGUUUGUUUCUGGCCCAGUCUUAGCAAACUAUACACUUGAAGCUUGUGCAUUUGUAUUCCAUGGAUCCAAAGAAUAUGCUGUGUUCAUUCAGAUGGUGAACUACCAAAUGUAAACCUCAGGCAUUUA
Molecule: RNA transcript, 4427 nt
Organism: Gopherus evgoodei (Goodes thornscrub tortoise)
Lineage: Eukaryota; Metazoa; Chordata; Testudines; Testudinidae
Gene name: torsin-1A-interacting protein 2-like
Exons: 6
Source: RefSeq, a predicted model, not a curated record